GAUGAACGCUGGCGGCGUGCCUAAUACAUGCAAGUAGAACGCUGAAGGGAGGAGCUUGCUCUUUCCGGAUGAGUUGCGAACGGGUGAGUAACGCGUAGGUAACCUGCCUGGUAGCGUGGGAUAACUUUUGGAAACGAUAGCUAAUACCGCAUAAUAGAUGAAGUUGCAUGAUUUCUACUUAAAAGAUGCAAUUGCACUACCACAAGAAGGACUUCGCUUGGAUUAACCAGUUGGUGAGGUAACGGGUUACCAAGGCGACGAUUCAUAACCGACCCGGGAAGGGGGUCCGCCACACCUGGACUGGAGCCCGGCCCAGACCCCUACGGGAGGCAGGAGGAAGGAAAUCUCGGCAAAGGACCGAAGUCUGGCCGGGGAAAGCCGGGGGAGUGAAGAAGGUUCUCGGAUCGUAAAGCUCUGUUGUAAGAGAAGAACGAAUGGGGGAAGGGAAAAUUCACGCUUUGACGGUACCUUACCAGAAAGGGACGGCUAACUACGUG
RNAcentral lists this ribosomal RNA (497 nucleotides) under uncultured bacterium. RNAcentral's name for it is "partial 16S ribosomal RNA". It matches the Rfam family "Bacterial small subunit ribosomal RNA", at positions 28 to 507 of the family's 1533-position model. The record is from RNAcentral.